Non-coding RNA from Pelobates cultripes (western spadefoot toad), 167 nucleotides. The record is from the annotation of a GenBank genome assembly. NCBI's taxonomy places the organism in Eukaryota, Metazoa, Chordata, Amphibia, Anura, Pelobatidae.
GGAAGACAUGGGAACACUGAGAAUCUAGGGACACUAGGAGACAUGGGGACACAGACACCAGGGACACUGGCUUGGAGACAUGGGGACAAUGAGACAUUUGGGGACAUUGUGUUCCUAGUGUCUGUGUCCCCAUGUCUCCCAGUGUCUCAGUGUUCCCAUGUGUGUCU